UGCUAAGGCUAAAUACUACCUAACGACCGAUAGUGAACCAGUACCGUGAGGGAAAGGUGAAAAGCACCCCGGGAGGGGAGUGAAAUAGUACCUGAAACCGUGUGCUUACAAAUAGUCGGAGCACUUUUUAUGUGUGACGGCGUGCCUUUUGUAGAAUGAACCGGCGAGUUACGAUAGCGUGCGAGGUUAAGUCGAAGAGACGGAGCCG
This 208-nucleotide ribosomal RNA is filed under the name Brevibacillus laterosporus. RNAcentral describes it as "partial 23S ribosomal RNA". It matches the Rfam family "Bacterial large subunit ribosomal RNA", at positions 458 to 668 of the family's 2925-position model. Lineage: Bacteria; Bacillati; Bacillota; Bacilli; Caryophanales; Paenibacillaceae. The record is from RNAcentral.